CCACAUUUUUUUCUUUUCCCGCAACAGCAAAAACUUACCCUAAACCCUAAUAUUUUCCCUCAAACUCCUACUAGAUUCUAUCAAUUGCUUCCACAGAACAAACCCAAAAUGGCACUGUAAUACCCCCAACAAGAAACCCUUAUUACAACAACAACAACAGACACAAACCAAGAACCUCAAAAUCCUCAAAUAAUACAAGAAGAAACGGACCAAAGUGGUUCAGUAAAACCCGAAGAGGCUACUACUAUUACUAAUACAGAGGUUGUUUCAGUAGAGAAACCAAAGUGGCCUGGUUGGCCUGGGAGUUGUGUUUUUAGGUUGGUAGUACCUGUGUUAAAAGUUGGUAGUAUUAUUGGGAGAAAAGGUGAGCUUGUUAAGAAGAUGUGUGAAGAAACUGGGGCGAAGAUUCGCGUUCUUGAUGGGCCUGUUUCUUUGCCUGAUCGCAUUCUAUCAUUAUUCAAUAUUUGCUGUUGUGAAGGCUUCCGACCUCCUUAUUCUGUUCUGCCCUCUCUUUGAUACACACUUGUUAAGUGAAAAUCUGCAUUUGGUGAAAUACACACUGAAAUAAAAGGGACAUCAUCACAAGUUCAGACAGCCCAGCAACUUAUGCAGGAAUUUAUGGGUAGCCACAAAGAAUCACUUCCGAGCAGUUAUGGCCAGUUAGAUACAGGCUUGAGGCAGUCUUCUUACUCUAACCUAGGCAGUGGGUCCUACCCCUCAUCUUCAUACGGUGGACAGCAAUAUGGUGGUGGCUAUGGAUCAUCAUUCGGUGCAGGCGGAGGAGGGUACAGUAGUUACAGGUCAUGAACAGAUUAGCUUGAGUCUUAGCACUUGUACUUCCCAUCCUCUAUUUGUUGUGCAUUUGGUGCCAGAGCAAAUACCUAAGGAACUGCAUGUGGUUCAUGCUUUGUUAGUCGGAUGUCAGUUACAGGAAUGUAUUGAUAGCUUUUCAGUAGCUGCUCACCAUAGCUUGUAGUUCUUACAUGUGUAUCAAUAUGAUUGAAUCUUGGAAGUGUAAUAUGGUCAAGUUCUGUA
Molecule: long non-coding RNA, 1035 nt
Organism: Lycium barbarum (goji berry)
Lineage: Eukaryota; Viridiplantae; Streptophyta; Magnoliopsida; Solanales; Solanaceae
Exons: 3
Source: RefSeq, a predicted model, not a curated record